RNAcentral lists this ribosomal RNA (425 nucleotides) under uncultured bacterium. Its description in RNAcentral is "partial 16S ribosomal RNA". It matches the Rfam family "Bacterial small subunit ribosomal RNA", at positions 354 to 796 of the family's 1533-position model. The record is from RNAcentral.
GUGGGGAAUCUUAGACAAUGGGGGAAACCCUGAUCUAGCCAUGCCGCGUGAGCGAUGAAGGCCUUAGGGUUGUAAAGCUCUUUCAGCUGGGAAGAUAAUGACGGUACCAGCAGAAGAAGCCCCGGCUAACUCCGUGCCAGCAGCCGCGGUAAUACGGAGGGGGCUAGCGUUGUUCGGAAUUACUGGGCGUAAAGCGCACGUAGGCGGACUGGAAAGUCAGGGGUGAAAUCCCGGGGCUCAACCCCGGAACUGCCUUUGAAACUCUCAGUCUUGAGUUCGAGAGAGGUGAGUGGAAUUCCGAGUGUAGAGGUGAAAUUCGUAGAUAUUCGGAGGAACACCAGUGGCGAAGGCGGCUCACUGGCUCGAUACUGACGCUGAGGUGCGAAAGCGUGGGGAGCAAACAGGAUUAGAUACCCCAGUAGUCC